GACGAACGCUGGCGGCGUGCUUAACACAUGCAAGUCGAACGGAAAGGCCCUGCUUUUGUGGGGUGCUCGAGUGGCGAACGGGUGAGUAACACGUGAGUAACCUGCCCUUGACUUUGGGAUAACUUCAGGAAACUGGGGCUAAUACCGGAUAGGAGCUCCUGCUGCAUGGUGGGGGUUGGAAAGUUUCGGCGGUUGGGGAUGGACUCGCGGCUUAUCAGCUUGUUGGUGGGGUAGUGGCUUACCAAGGCUUUGACGGGUAGCCGGCCUGAGAGGGUGACCGGGGACCAUGGGGACGAGAUACGGCCCAGUCGCCUACGGGAGGCAGCAGGGGGGAAUAGUGCAGAAUGGGGGGAAGCCUGAUGCAACAGCCCCGCGUGCGGGAUGAAGGGCUUCGGGGUGUAAACCGCUUUCGACUGUGACGAAGCGUGAGUGACGGUAAUGGGUAAAGAAGCACCGGCUAACUACGUG
RNAcentral lists this ribosomal RNA (468 nucleotides) under uncultured bacterium. RNAcentral describes it as "partial 16S ribosomal RNA". It matches the Rfam family "Bacterial small subunit ribosomal RNA", at positions 28 to 507 of the family's 1533-position model. The record is from RNAcentral.